CAUCAAAAUGCUUUGAUAAGUACUCAUCUCUAUUGUCCAUGUACAACACCUUGAUCUUGCACUCAUAUUAUUUUUUCUACAAAUGUAUUAAAAUCCUUAAACCUUAAAAAGUACUCAUUUUUGGAUUUGAUGAUUUUAUUUUCUUCCAAUUGAUGGCAUCUUCAUUGAUCUACAAACAUCCGAAUGCACAAUCUCCAACAAUUUGUUUGCAAGUAUUGCAAUUCUACUUGAAAAUGAGGUCUUUUGUUGUUUGCUUUAGAUAUAACCUUUACAAGCAAGAAGCAUAGAAUUUUUACAUGAUUGGCUAAGAUCAAAGCUACUUACUAUGGAUUAGAGUUCUUUCAUGCCUUUAA
Molecule: long non-coding RNA, 353 nt
Filed under: Physcomitrium patens
Lineage: Eukaryota; Viridiplantae; Streptophyta; Bryopsida; Funariales; Funariaceae
Description: long non-coding RNA (PPAT_LNC001140)
Source: RNAcentral